This 132-nucleotide small RNA is filed under the name Escherichia coli. RNAcentral describes it as "RtT sRNA". It matches the Rfam family "RtT RNA". Rfam says of the family: This family represents a bacterial cis-regulatory element known as RtT RNA. The exact function of RtT is unknown although it is thought that it may be involved in changing the cellular response in relation to amino acid starvation. The record is from RNAcentral. Lineage: Bacteria; Pseudomonadati; Pseudomonadota; Gammaproteobacteria; Enterobacterales; Enterobacteriaceae.
AUUCUGCCCAUGCGGGGAAGGAUGAGAAGCUUCGACCAAGGUUCGACUCGAGCGCCAGCGAGAAAGCGUUGCCGCAGGCAACGACCCGAAGGGCGAAGCGCGCAGCGCUGAGUAAUCCUUCUCCCACCACCA